UACGGAGGGUGCUAGCGUUGCUCGGAAUUACUGGGCGUAAAGCGUACGCAGGCGGCUUGGUAAGUCGGAUGUGAAAGCCCCAGGCUCAACCUGGGAACUGCAUCCGAAACUACCUCGCUUGAGUUCGGGAGAGGGAAGUGGAAUUCCUGGUGUAGAGGUGAAAUUCGUUGAUAUCAGGAGGAACACCGGCGGCGAAAGCGGCUUCCUGGCCCGAUACUGACGCUCAUGUACGAAAGCGUGGGGAGCAAACAGG
This 253-nucleotide ribosomal RNA is filed under the name uncultured bacterium. RNAcentral's name for it is "partial 16S ribosomal RNA". It matches the Rfam family "Bacterial small subunit ribosomal RNA", at positions 524 to 776 of the family's 1533-position model. The record is from RNAcentral.